ACAUAUUGAUGACAUAGUAGGGAAGGGUAGAAAGUUUUGUGUAUGCCGGGACAGGGA
RNAcentral lists this small RNA (57 nucleotides) under Arabidopsis thaliana (thale cress). RNAcentral's name for it is "ATSL018760". The record is from RNAcentral. Lineage: Eukaryota; Viridiplantae; Streptophyta; Magnoliopsida; Brassicales; Brassicaceae.